This 646-nucleotide ribosomal RNA is filed under the name uncultured bacterium. Its description in RNAcentral is "bacterial SSU rRNA". It matches the Rfam family "Bacterial small subunit ribosomal RNA", at positions 232 to 885 of the family's 1533-position model. The record is from RNAcentral.
CGCGGCCUAUCAGCUUGUUGGUGGGGUAAUGGCCUACCAAGGCGGCGACGGGUAGCCGGCCUGAGAGGGUGUACGGCCACAUUGGGACUGAGAUACGGCCCAGACUCCUACGGGAGGCAGCAGUGGGGAAUAUUGCACAAUGGGCGCAAGCCUGAUGCAGCGACGCCGCGUGGGGGAUGAAGGCCUUCGGGUUGUAAACUCCUUUCGCUAGGGACGAAGCUUUGUUGUGACGGUACCUAGAUAAGAAGCACCGGCUAACUACGUGCCAGCAGCCGCGGUAAUACGUAGGGUGCGAGCGUUGUCCGGAAUUACUGGGUGUAAAGGGCUCGUAGGUGGUUUGUCGCGUCGUCUGUGAAAUUCUGGGGCUUAACUCCGGGCGUGCAGGCGAUACGGGCAUAACUUGAGUGCUGUAGGGGUAACUGGAAUUCCUGGUGUAGCGGUGAAAUGCGCAGAUAUCAGGAGGAACACCGAUGGCGAAGGCAGGUUACUGGGCAGUUACUGACGCUGAGGAGCGAAAGCAUGGGUAGCGAACAGGAUUAGAUACCCUGGUAGUCCAUGCCGUAAACGGUGGGCGCUAGGUGUGAGGGUCUUUCUACGACUUUCGUGCCGUAGCUAACGCAUUAAGCGCCCCGCCUGGGGAGUACGG